This 230-nucleotide ribosomal RNA is filed under the name uncultured bacterium. Its description in RNAcentral is "partial 16S ribosomal RNA". It matches the Rfam family "Bacterial small subunit ribosomal RNA", at positions 563 to 791 of the family's 1533-position model. The record is from RNAcentral.
AAGCGUGCGCAGGCGGUUUUGUAAGACUGUCGUGAAAUCCCCGGGCUCAACCUGGGAAUGGCGAUGGUGACUGCAAGGCUAGAGUUUGGCAGAGGGGGGUAGAAUUCCACGUGUAGCAGUGAAAUGCGUAGAUAUGUGGAGGAACACCGAUGGCGAAGGCAGCCCCCGUGGGUCAAAACUGACGCUCAUGCACGAAAGCGUGGGGAGCAAACAGGAUUAGAUACCCCGGU